UACGUAGGGGGCAAGCGUUGUCCGGAAUCAUUGGGCGUAAAGCGCCCGUAGGCGGCCUGACAAGUUGGACGUGAAAGCUCCUGGCUUAACUGGGAGAGGCCGUUCAAAACUGUCAAGCUAGAGUCUGGAAGAGGAGAGCGGAAUUCCCGGUGUAGUGGUGGAAUGCGUAGAGAUCGGGAGGAACACCAGUGGCGAAAGCGGCUCUCUGGUCCAAAACUGACGCUGAGGGGCGAAAGCGUGGGGAGCGAACGGG
RNAcentral lists this ribosomal RNA (253 nucleotides) under uncultured bacterium. Its description in RNAcentral is "partial 16S ribosomal RNA". It matches the Rfam family "Bacterial small subunit ribosomal RNA", at positions 524 to 776 of the family's 1533-position model. The record is from RNAcentral.